Molecule: unclassified non-coding RNA, 864 nt
Filed under: Hevea brasiliensis (rubber tree)
Lineage: Eukaryota; Viridiplantae; Streptophyta; Magnoliopsida; Malpighiales; Euphorbiaceae
Source: RNAcentral
GGUACUACUCAUAUGGACAAGCAAAAAUCACUUUGUAAUUAUGACUCAAAGGAUGGUGGAAUGGAUGAGAAAGAGCUGAACAUCAUGAAUUCAGUGUUGAACAGAAUUUUUGAGAGGGAGAACUAUUCUGAGGAAACCCCUAGGGAUUUUAAAUUAUCUAAGAAAGUUCAAAGCUCAAAUGGUACAGUUGAUCAUUUGCAGAAUGACAAGAAUCUAGUCAACCAAGAAAUGGUAAAUGAUGAUAACCUCAUUCUCAAUGUGGUGGCUGGUGCAAACGAUAGAAUGAUUAUGGUAAAAGAUCCAAUCCAGGAAGCAAUGACAGCUAUUCAGGCUAAUGAAGAUUUUGUUGACCAAGAAAUGGAUAACGAUGAUGACAACCUUAUUAUCAAUGUAGUGGCAGGAUAGAAACACUAUGUUCAAAGAUCCAACCCUGGAAGCAAUUGUAGCUAUUCAGAAUUCGCUAUCCAAGGAAUCACGACUUGCUACGGAUAAACAAAAGCAAGGAAAGACGAUGCCCUCAAACAGAAAGCGUAAAGCACCUUCAGAGGUAAAAGAUGGUGAGGCACAUACGUUGUUGUCUAAAGCUGAAGCAAAGCAGAGUUUGGAAGUCACACGAGAUAGCCAACUAUUAAAUAGAAGUGCCAAAUUGCCAAAGAAGUCUCCAUGGAAAGAUCUUGUUAGUGCUAGUAGUGGUGCUUCAUUCAGUGUAUUGGAUAUUUUGCCGAGUGCUAUUCCUGGUACAGAGAUGCAGUCUGGUUCUAAUGGUGUUAGUGAGUUCUCCUCCGACGAAAAAGAUGAAGUAGCAAACCAUGAGAAAGUAUCCGAUCACCUUGAAGAGCCGGAUAAAGUUGAAUCUGAAGAUGA